This 429-nucleotide ribosomal RNA is filed under the name bacterium. RNAcentral describes it as "partial 16S ribosomal RNA". It matches the Rfam family "Bacterial small subunit ribosomal RNA", at positions 355 to 776 of the family's 1533-position model. The record is from RNAcentral.
UAGGGAAUCUUCGGCAAUGGGGGCAACCCUGACCGAGCAACGCCGCGUGAGUGAAGAAGGUUUUCGGAUCGUAAAGCUCUGUUGUAAGAGAAGAACGUGUGUGAGAGUGGAAAGUUCACACAGUGACGGUAACUUACCAGAAAGGGACGGCUAACUACGUGCAAGCAGCCGCGGUAAUACGUAGGUCCCGAGCGUUGUCCGGAUUUAUUGGGCGUAAAGCGAGCGCAGGCGGUUUAAUAAGUCUGAAGUUAAAGGCAGUGGCUUAACCAUUGUUCGCUUUGGAAACUGUUAAACUUGAGUGCAGAAGGGGAGAGUGGAAUUCCAUGUGUAGCGGUGAAAUGCGUAGAUAUAUGGAGGAACACCGGUGGCGAAAGCGGCUCUCUGGUCUGUAACUGACGCUGAGGCUCGAAAGCGUGGGGAGCAAACAGG